This 495-nucleotide ribosomal RNA is filed under the name uncultured bacterium. RNAcentral's name for it is "partial 16S ribosomal RNA". It matches the Rfam family "Bacterial small subunit ribosomal RNA", at positions 28 to 507 of the family's 1533-position model. The record is from RNAcentral.
GACGAACGCUGGCGGCGUGCCUAAUACAUGCAAGUAGAACGCUGAAGGAGGAGCUUGCUUCUCUGGAUGAGUUGCGAACGGGUGAGUAACGCGUAGGUAACCUGCCUGGUAGCGGGGGAUAACUAUUGGAAACGAUAGCUAAUACCGCAUAAUAGUAGAUGUUGCAUGACAUUUGCUUAAAAGGUGCAAUUGCAUCACUACCAGAUGGACCUGCGUUGUAUUAGCUAGGUGGUGGGGUAACGGCUCACCAAGGCGACGAUACAUAGCCGACCUGAGAGGGGGGUCGGCCACACUGGGACUGAGACACGGCCCAGACUCCUACGGGAGGCAGCAGUAGGGAAUCUUCGGCAAUGGACGGAAGUCUGACCGAGCAACGCCGCGUGAGUGAAGAAGGUUUUCGGAUCGUAAAGCUCUGUUGUAAGAGAAGAACGAGUGUGAGAGUGGAAAGUUCACACUGUGACGGUAUCUGACCAGAAAGGGACGGCUAACUACGUG